CCUACGGGUGGCUGCAGUGAGGAAUAUUGGUCAAUGGGCGCGAGCCUGAACCAGCCAAGUCGCGUGAGGGAAGACGGUCCUAUGGAUUGUAAACCUCUUUUGUCGGGGAGCAGAGGUCCGGACGUGUCCGGGCCGGGAGAGUACCCGGAGAAAAAGCAUCGGCUAACUCCGUGCCAGCAGCCGCGGUAAUACGGAGGAUGCGAGCGUUAUCCGGAUUUAUUGGGUUUAAAGGGUGCGUAGGCGGGCAUUUAAGCCGGCGGUCAAAUGUCGGGGCUCAACCCCGGCCUGCCGUCGGAACUGGGUGCCUUGAGUGGGCGAGAAGUAUGCGGAAUGCGUGGUGUAGCGGUGAAAUGCAUAGAUAGCACGCAGAACCCCGAUUGCGAAGGCAGCAUACCGGCGCCCUACUGACGCUGAGGCACGAAAGUGCGGGUAUCGAACAGGAUUAGAUACCAUGGUAGUC
RNAcentral lists this ribosomal RNA (460 nucleotides) under uncultured bacterium. RNAcentral's name for it is "partial 16S ribosomal RNA". It matches the Rfam family "Bacterial small subunit ribosomal RNA", at positions 338 to 795 of the family's 1533-position model. The record is from RNAcentral.